RNAcentral lists this long non-coding RNA (557 nucleotides) under Homo sapiens (human). RNAcentral describes it as "non-protein coding lnc-FBN2-4:1". Lineage: Eukaryota; Metazoa; Chordata; Mammalia; Primates; Hominidae. The record is from RNAcentral.
CCACCCGGCCACAUUCUCAUGAAAGCUUCUUUCCUAACACAGGAUUGCACAAGUGAUUCAUUGUGCCUGAUUAGCUGGUAGUUUGCUCACUGUUCACCUGCAACUGCUGCUCCAUCUUCCCUGUUGCUUGUCCAAAGACACCAGCUACUUUCUCCCAGCCAGUUGCUGUAUCUCUCCCUGGAUGCAUUUGUAGACCCAGGUGAACCUGUAUCCGCUUCACUUUCUGCUCUGACAGGAAGUACAGAGUUUCCCUAUGGAGAGAACCAUGUGAACAAGAAACUGAUGUCUUUGGACAACAGCCAGCGAGGAUCUGAGACCUGCCAAGAAUUACAUAAAUGUGUUUGUGGAAGUGGAUAUUCAUCUAGCCCAGCCUCGUAUGAUUGGUGCUCCAGCCAACAACUUCAUGACACCCUUGCAAAGCAUCUUGAUCCUGAGAAAUCCACUUAAACUUUGCCCCGAUUCCUGACCCACAGCUUUGGGAUAAUGAACGUCUGAUGUUUUCAGCCACUAAGUUUUGGUAAUUUUUUGUGCCCUGGAAGCUAACAAGUAUAUUUGUU